This 253-nucleotide ribosomal RNA is filed under the name uncultured bacterium. Its description in RNAcentral is "partial 16S ribosomal RNA". It matches the Rfam family "Bacterial small subunit ribosomal RNA", at positions 524 to 776 of the family's 1533-position model. The record is from RNAcentral.
UACAGAGGGUGCGAGCGUUGUCCGGAAUCACUGGGCGUAAAGGGCGCGUAGGUGGCGGGAUAAGCGUGCGGUGAAAGCCCGGGGCUCAACCCCGGGUCUGCCGUGCGGACUGUUUCGCUCGAGCGUAGUAGAGGCAGGUGGAAUUCCGGGUGUAGCGGUGGAAUGCGUAGAGAUCCGGAAGAACACCGGUGGCGAAGGCGGCCUGCUGGGCUACUGCUGACACUGAGGCGCGACAGCGUGGGGAGCAAACAGG